Molecule: transfer RNA, 71 nt
Filed under: Marmota monax (woodchuck)
Lineage: Eukaryota; Metazoa; Chordata; Mammalia; Rodentia; Sciuridae
Description: tRNA.Ala
Source: RNAcentral
GAGGUUGUGGCUCAGUGGUAGAGCACUUGCCUAGCACAUGCAAGGCCCUGGGUUCAAUCCUCAGCACCACA